Molecule: unclassified non-coding RNA, 258 nt
Filed under: uncultured Eurotiales
Lineage: Eukaryota; Fungi; Ascomycota; Eurotiomycetes; Eurotiales
Description: sequence contains 5.8S rRNA gene, ITS2, 28S rRNA gene
Rfam family: 5.8S ribosomal RNA (bases 1-52)
Source: RNAcentral
AACGCACAUUGCGCCCUCCGGCAUUCCGGAGGGCAUGCCUGUCCGAGCGUCAUUUCUGCCCUCCAGCGCGGCUGGGUCUUGGGCGCUGUUCCCCCGGGGACACGCCCCAAAGGCAGUGGCGACGCCGCGUCGAGUCCUCGAGCGUAUGGAGCCUAGUCACCGGCUCGGGACGGACUCGCCGGCUUCGGUCUUCCCCGAUGGGCCUUAGGGUUACUCACGGUUGACCUCGGAUCAGGUAGGGCUACCCGCUGAACUUAA